This 411-nucleotide ribosomal RNA is filed under the name uncultured bacterium. Its description in RNAcentral is "bacterial SSU rRNA". It matches the Rfam family "Bacterial small subunit ribosomal RNA", at positions 363 to 774 of the family's 1533-position model. The record is from RNAcentral.
AUUGCACAAUGGGCGCAAGCCUGAUGCAGCGACGCCGCGUGUGGGAUGAAGGGGCUACGCCUCGUAAACCACUGUAGCUCGGGACGAAAAACGCCUUAGAGGCGUUAGACGGUACCGGGAACGUAAGGGUCGGCUAACUACGUGCCAGCAGCCGCGGUAAUACGUAGGACCCAAGCGUUGUCCGGAUUUACUGGGUGUAAAGGGUGCGUAGGCGGAUGGGUAAGUCAGGGGUGAAAGUCUGCAGCUUAACUGUAGAAUUGCCUUCGAUACUGCGCAUCUUGAGUGGGGGAGAGGUUGAUGGAAUUCCAGGUGUAGCAGUGAAAUGCGUAGAUAUCUGGAAGAACACCAGUGGCGAAGGCGGUCAACUGGUCCAUAACUGACGCUCAUGCACGAAAGAGUGGGGAGCAAACA